Molecule: long non-coding RNA, 2749 nt
Organism: Mytilus californianus (California mussel)
Lineage: Eukaryota; Metazoa; Mollusca; Bivalvia; Mytilida; Mytilidae
Exons: 3
Source: RefSeq, a predicted model, not a curated record
AGGCUUUUACAUUCUUCUUCAGCUAAGGAAACUGUAGUUAUCUCCCUUAUUGUUGAAUAAUCAUUCAACAUGGCUGACAAAGAUUUAGAAGACACAACAUGUGUUCAGAGAACCUGUAAAAAGAUUAUCUAUGAAUCAAACAUGAAUGCCAAAUGGUAUCAACUGGUAUUGGAUAGGAUUGUGAUUCUGCCAGAUUUUAUGUAACAUUGCUGAAAUCGGUAGAGUAAUUGUAAAGAAAGCAACUCUUGUCAUACACCAGCUUACAACAACAGAUGACAUGGCCAACUCGCACUUCCCCAGACAACCAAGAUGGCGACCAUUGGUGACUACCGCCAGAAUGAAUGUGACCUUUGGCGGGAAAAUACUGCAACAAUCAACAUCUUUUUUACCAUACAAUUUCCUAAAAACAACAAGAAAAAAAAAUUGUACAAAAAAACAAAACAGAAAAAAGAUAGCACAAGUAUCCUCAAAAUCGACAAGUUUCGAAGAUGAUAUAAAAAAAACCAAGAUCAUUGUAAUUGGGGCAAAGUCGGAUUGGAUAUCAAUCAAACAAAAAGUUUUUAAAAUUCAAUGCAUAAUAUAUACUGAGCUUGGUUACACUGUUAUGUUUUAAAACAGUCACAAUGUGUUUAAAUAUGCUGACUACUCUAGACAUACUUAGUGACGUAUUUUAAAAUAAUGUCUGAACUGUCUUUAUCUGGUCGAUUCAAAGGCAUGUUUUGUCUGUCUGGUUUAAAUAUAGUUAUAAAACAUGUAGAAUAUUUACCUAUCGCUGUGCAUACACACAAAUGAUACACUCCAGUGCUCACCAAUGUGCAUUCAAUAUGUGCAAUCAAAUGCAGAUGACAGUGCAUUUCCAUUCGAGACAUUUACAGAUUUUCACACGGUUUGAGGUGCAUGUUCCAAUUAGUUAUUCAGUUUACAUUGCUUGGCAUAGCACUUGCCUAAAAAAUGUUUUAAUUAUGACACUGGAUCCUUGAACAAAUGAAAUGAAAAAUAUCUCGUCACAAUGAGAUAUCUGAGUUCCUUGGUCAUCAAGUAGACCUUCAAAAAAAUCUACAGUACGUUCCCGCCCACUGUUUUUGCGCCAAUAUUAUUGGGCUGUGUCGUGACACAGUAGCUAUUUUCUCCUUGAAAUAUAUACCCAAAUUUGUGAUGCACACGGUGCAUAUUCAGUUGAACAAGAUGCAUAAUGCGCAUGCGCUUUUGUCAUAUUCUAAAGAAAUUUAAAUUUUGCGUUUAAACUUUAUUUUAAAAUUACAUUUAACUAAAUAUUUGUUAGUAAACUGUUAACAUCAGGAAAUAACACAGUCAGGUUUCACCAAGCUACACACGUUCACACAGUUUAUCCGCCAUAUUGCUUUCUUUUUUUCUCAUAAUGUCUGUCCUGCCAUUUUAAAUUUUUUCAUUGGUUCUUUUUUAGCAUAUUAAAAUGACUUUGCUAACUCUUAAAGAUACUCAAAAAGACAAAAUGGUGUACAAUGAUGUUGAUUAUAUCAAGUUUUAACCUACAUGCAUAUUUCUUUCUAUUUUUUUUAGUUUUUAAACAAAACCACAAUGAAUCUGCAAUGCUUCUGUGAUUGAAAAUAAGAUUAAAUUUCAGUAACUCUUGUUAAAAUAAGUUUUAACAACAGAUGCAGAAUUUACGUAAGCUUACUUAUGAACAAACUUAUUGUACUAAGACAGAUAUAUUAACAUGCACUAAAUGUUUUUUCACCUUUUGCAGGUUGCAAUCCUAAAGGGGAAACGACUCUUACCAGCUUGUAAAACACAGCACCAGUCAAAUAAUGUAGGGCGUGCUAACAAGAGUUAGUGUAUGAUGUCAUAGAUUAGUCUGUGUCUGGUUUAUAUGUAAAGUAGCAAGGAACUUUACCUGUUUCAUACUUGACAGAACACACAUUGUACAAAUAAAUGCUAUAUAUAAAUUAAAACGGAUGUUAGAAUCAUCGAUCAGUAUUAUUUAAAAUAAAAACAUACAGAAACAACAUCUAGACAAUAAAGAAAAUAAUAGAUAAAAAAAAUGCCUACCCUUUAACUGGCCUCAAAAAUUGACACAUUUAAAAGAUAUAAAGGUGAUGCAUAAAGUGUCUCGUCACUGUAAUACACACUGGUGCACAUACACAUGUCCCGCCAGAACAAGUCUUAGGUCAGACUGCACAAGAAAUAAAGGAUUUUAAAUCCAUGGUUUCCAUUGGAAGUUAAAAAUGAGGCGGCACACCCAUUCACAAUAAAUUCCUUCAUUGGCUCAUUUAUAUAAAAACAAAUGCAUCGUCAAUAUGACACCAUGUUGUAGAUAAAAAAUAGUCAAACACUAAAAUUAAAGUGCGAGAUUAACAAAACCUGAUUGUUAUGUACCAUGCAGUGGAUUAUAUCGAACCUUACAAACAUUCUAUGCCUACACACUCUACCAGAGACAUCAUGUACAACAAUCUCUUUUUGAGCUUACUGACCUCCUUGAUAAAAGAGUUCAUAUCCAAGGGAAAAUUUUCGUCGCUCACUUUUUGGCGGGAAUUAUUUUGGCGCGAAAAAUUAAAAAGUGAAUUAUUCAUUUGUUGGAUUUAUUGUGAUUCCACAUAUAUAUUUGGAAAAUAAUUUUUAAGUGUGUUUGUUAUAUUAAUUUAAAAAGAUUUUACAGAUUGGAAUUUUUCACUUUUCAGUGGAUUACAAGAAUUAGUUAUUCCAAAAGGAAAUUUCUGGAAUACCAGUAUGUUUUCAGAUCACAUGUAUUAAAAGUCAAAUUUUUUGUUUA